UCUGGGUAGUUUAAAUUAGAAUUAUAAUUUGUGGUAUUAUAAGUGGGCACGCCCCUCAGAUC
This 62-nucleotide transfer RNA is filed under the name Tuxedo susansolomonae. RNAcentral's name for it is "tRNA-His". RNAcentral also lists the same sequence under 1 other name. The record is from RNAcentral. Lineage: Eukaryota; Metazoa; Arthropoda; Insecta; Hemiptera; Miridae.